Molecule: ribosomal RNA, 398 nt
Filed under: uncultured bacterium
Lineage: Bacteria
Description: partial 16S ribosomal RNA
Rfam family: Bacterial small subunit ribosomal RNA
Source: RNAcentral
AUACGUAGGGUGCGAGCGUUGUCCGGAAUUACUGGGCGUAAAGAGCUCGUAGGUGGUUUGUCGCGUCGUCUGUGAAAUUCCGGGGCUUAACUCCGGGCGUGCAGGCGAUACGGGCAUAACUUGAGUACUGUAGGGGAGACUGGAAUUCCUGGUGUAGCGGUGAAAUGCGCAGAUAUCAGGAGGAACACCGGGGGCGAAGGCGGGUCUCGGGGCAGAAACGGACGCUGAGGAGCGAAAGCAUGGGUAGCGAACAGGAUUAGAUCCCCUGGUAGGCCAUGCCGUAAACGGUGGGCGCUAGGUGUAGGGGUCUUCCACGACUUCUGUGCCGUAGCUAACGCAUUAAGCGCCCCGCCUGGGGAGUACGGCCGCAAGGCUAAAACUCAAAGGAAUUGACGGGG